Molecule: long non-coding RNA, 423 nt
Organism: Mesocricetus auratus (golden hamster)
Lineage: Eukaryota; Metazoa; Chordata; Mammalia; Rodentia; Cricetidae
Exons: 4
Source: RefSeq, a predicted model, not a curated record
CAGCACUUGAGAAGAAAGGAGAGAGACAGUUAUUAAAGAAGUCAGCAUCUCACCAUUUCAACACUGCAGCAAUUGAUGUCUGUGCAUCUCUACUUAUACCUUCAUACGGGCCUGGAUUCAGACUGAUAGCAUUCAACUCCUAAUAGGAGAAGGCAGAGAUGAUAGAAGGGUCGGCUAUGGCUUCAUCAUUUUUUGUCUGUCUCUGGUUGAACAUGUCCUCAUAGAUACCAUGGAGUUCAGUGCUAUUAUAUAAUGGUCAACGCUGACUGAUUGAAAUAUCUUCAGGAUGAAGACAAGAUGAAUUAAUCAAAGCUCAAAUUUUUGGCUUAUUUGGAGACUAGGGAGAUGAAUGGCUCAGCAGUUAAAGAACACUCACUGCUCUUCUAGAGGACCAAUGUUUGGUUCCCAUCAUCCACACCAGAU